AGACCCGAAACCCGGUGAUCUAGCCAUGGGCAGGUUGAAGGUUGGGUAACACUAACUGGAGGACCGAACCGACUAAUGUUGAAAAAUUAGCGGAUGACUUGUGGCUGGGGGUGAAAGGCCAAUCAAACCGGGAGAUAGCUGGUUCUCCCCGAAAGCUAUUUAGGUAGCGCCUCGUGAAUUCAUCUCCGGGGGUAGAGCACUGUUUCGGCAAGGGGGUCAUCCCGACUUACCAACCCGAUGCAAACUGCGAAUACCGGAGAAUGUUAUCACGGGAGACACACGGCGGGUGCUAACGUCCGUCGUGAAGAGGGAAACAACCCAGACCGCCAGCUAAGGUCCCAAAGUCAUGGUUAAGUGGGAAACGAUGUGGGAAGGCCCAGACAGCCAGGAUGUUGGCUUAGAAGCAGCCAUCAUUUAAAGAAAGCGUAAUAGCUCACUGGUCGAGUCGGCCUGCGCGGAAGAUGUAACGGGGCUAAACCAUGCACCGAAGCUGCGGCAGCGACACUGUGUGUUGUUGGGUAGGGGAGCGUUCUGUAAGCCUGUGAAGGUGUACUGUGAGGUAUG
RNAcentral lists this ribosomal RNA (564 nucleotides) under Escherichia coli. Its description in RNAcentral is "partial 23S ribosomal RNA". It matches the Rfam family "Bacterial large subunit ribosomal RNA", at positions 711 to 1272 of the family's 2925-position model. Lineage: Bacteria; Pseudomonadati; Pseudomonadota; Gammaproteobacteria; Enterobacterales; Enterobacteriaceae. The record is from RNAcentral.